This 254-nucleotide ribosomal RNA is filed under the name uncultured bacterium. Its description in RNAcentral is "partial 16S ribosomal RNA". It matches the Rfam family "Bacterial small subunit ribosomal RNA", at positions 524 to 776 of the family's 1533-position model. The record is from RNAcentral.
UACGAAGGGGGCUAGCGUUGUUCGGAAUCACUGGGCGUAAAGGGCGCGUAGGCGGCUUUAUAAGUCGGGGGGUGAAAGCCUGUGGCUCAACCACAGAAUUGCCUUCGAUACUGUAGAGCUUGAGACCGGAAGAGGUAAGUGGAACUGCGAGUGUAGAGGUGAAAUUCGUAGAUAUUCGCAAGAACACCAGUGGCGAAAGCGGCUUCCUGGUCCAGCACCGACGUUCAGGCACGAAAGCGUGGGGAGCAAACAGG